RNAcentral lists this ribosomal RNA (450 nucleotides) under uncultured bacterium. RNAcentral describes it as "partial 16S ribosomal RNA". It matches the Rfam family "Bacterial small subunit ribosomal RNA", at positions 354 to 796 of the family's 1533-position model. The record is from RNAcentral.
GUGAGGAAUAUUGGGCAAUGGGCGAAAGCCUGACCCAGCCACGCCGCGUGAGUGAUGAAGGCCUUCGGGUUGUAAAGCUCUGUGGGGAGGGAAGAAAAAGCGGGAGAGUAACUGCUCUCGUGUUGACGGUACCUCCUUAGCAAGCACCGGCUAACUCUGUGCCAGCAGCCGCGGUAAUACAGAGGGUGCAAACGUUGCUCGGAAUUACUGGGCGUAAAGCGCGUGUAGGCUGACAUGCAAGUCGGGUGUGAAAUCCCAGGGCUCAACCUUGGAACUGCACUCGAAACUGCACGUCUUGAGUACUGGAGAGGGAAGCGGAAUUCCGGGUGUAGAGGUGAAAUUCGUAGAUAUCCGGAGGAACACCAGUGGCGAAGGCGGCUUCCUGAACAGUAACUGACGCUGAGACGCGAAAGCGUGGGGAGCAAAUGGGAUUAGAAACCCGUGUAGUCC